GAUGAAGAACGUAGCGAAAUGCGAUAAGUAGUGUGAAUUGCAGAAUUCAGUGAAUCAUCGAAUCUUUGAACGCACAUUGCGCCCCUUGGUAUUCCAUGGGGCAUGCCUGUUCGAGCGUCAUUUGUACCUUCAAGCUUUGCUUGGUGUUGGGUGUUUGUCUCGCCUCUGCGUGUAGACUCGCCUUAAAACAAUUGGCAGCCGGCGUAUUGAUUUCGGAGCGCAGUACAUCUCGCGCUUUGCACUCAUAACGACGACGUCCAAAAGUACAUUUUUACACUCUUGACCUCGGAUCAGGUAGGGAUACCCGCUGAACGUAAGCAUAUCAAUAAGCGGAGGA
RNAcentral lists this unclassified non-coding RNA (337 nucleotides) under soil metagenome. Its description in RNAcentral is "partial contains 5.8S ribosomal RNA, internal transcribed spacer 2, and large subunit ribosomal RNA". The stretch from base 1 to 120 matches the Rfam family "5.8S ribosomal RNA", at positions 35 to 154 of the family's 154-position model. The record is from RNAcentral.